RNAcentral lists this ribosomal RNA (420 nucleotides) under uncultured bacterium. Its description in RNAcentral is "bacterial SSU rRNA". It matches the Rfam family "Bacterial small subunit ribosomal RNA", at positions 355 to 774 of the family's 1533-position model. The record is from RNAcentral.
UGGGGGAUAUUGCUCAAUGGGAGAAAUCCUGAAGCAGCAACGCCGCGUGGAGGAUGAAGGGUCUAUGACUUGUAAACUCCUGUAAAGAAGGAAAAAAUUCCCAUUAGAUGGGAGAUGAUGGUACUUCUGGAGUAAGCCCCGGCUAACUACGUGCCAGCAGCCGCGGUAAUACGUAGGGGGCAAGCGUUGUCCGGAUUUACUGGGUGUAAAGGGUGCUCAGGCGGAUUUGUAAGUCAGAGGUGAAAUCUUACAGCUUAACUGUGAAACUGCCUUUGAUACUGCAAGCCUAGAGUAUGGAAGAGAGUGAUGGAAUAUCUGGUGUAGCAGUGAAAUGCGUAGAUAUCAGAUAGAACACCAAUGGCGAAGGCAGUCACUUGGUCCAUUACUGACGCUAAAGCACGAAAGCGUGGGUAGCAAACA